RNAcentral lists this ribosomal RNA (586 nucleotides) under uncultured bacterium. Its description in RNAcentral is "bacterial SSU rRNA". It matches the Rfam family "Bacterial small subunit ribosomal RNA", at positions 338 to 915 of the family's 1533-position model. The record is from RNAcentral.
CCUACGGGAGGCAGCAGUGGGGAAUUUUGGACAAUGGGCGCAAGCCUGAUCCAGCCAUGCCGCGUGCGGGAAGAAGGCCUUCGGGUUGUAAACCGCUUUUGUCAGGGAAGAAAUCCUUUGAGAUAAUACCUCGGAGGGAUGACGGUACCUGAAGAAUAAGCACCGGCUAACUACGUGCCAGCAGCCGCGGUAAUACGUAGGGUGCGAGCGUUAAUCGGAAUUACUGGGCGUAAAGCGUGCGCAGGCGGUCUUGCAAGACAGAUGUGAAAUCCCCGGGCUCAACCUGGGAACUGCAUUUGUGACUGCAAGGCUAGAGUACGGUAGAGGGGGAUGGAAUUCCGCGUGUAGCAGUGAAAUGCGUAGAUAUGCGGAGGAACACCGAUGGCGAAGGCAAUCCCCUGGACCUGUACUGACGCUCAUGCACGAAAGCGUGGGGAGCAAACAGGAUUAGAUACCCUGGUAGUCCACGCCCUAAACGAUGUCAACUGGUUGUUGGACGGCUUGCUGUUCAGUAACGAAGCUAACGCGUGAAGUUGACCGCCUGGGGAAGUACGGCCGCAAGGUUGAAACUUCAAAGGAAUUGAGG